RNAcentral lists this ribosomal RNA (273 nucleotides) under uncultured bacterium. Its description in RNAcentral is "partial 16S ribosomal RNA". It matches the Rfam family "Bacterial small subunit ribosomal RNA", at positions 524 to 796 of the family's 1533-position model. The record is from RNAcentral.
GACGGAGGGUGCUAGCGUUGUUCGGAAUUACUGGGCGUAAAGGGCGCGUAGGCGGCCGCCCGCGUCGGAUGUGAAAGCCCGGGGCUCAACCCCGGAACGGCAUCCGAUACGGGGCGGCUGGAGACCGGGAGAGGAGGGUGGAAUAGCCAGUGUAGAGGUGAAAUUCGUAGAUAUUGGCUGGAACACCGGUGGCGAAAGCGGCUCUCUGGCCCGGUUCUGACGCUGAGGCGCGAAAGCGUGGGGAGCAAACAGGAUGAGAAACCCCCGUAGUCC